Molecule: ribosomal RNA, 253 nt
Filed under: uncultured bacterium
Lineage: Bacteria
Description: partial 16S ribosomal RNA
Rfam family: Bacterial small subunit ribosomal RNA
Source: RNAcentral
UACCGGGUGGCGACCGGCGCACGGGUGAGUAACGCGUAUGCAACUUACCUAUCAGAGGGGGAUAACCCGGCGAAAGUCGGAUUAAUACCCCAUAAAACAGGGGUCCCGCAUGGGAAUAUUUGUUAAAGAUUCAUCGCUGAUAGAUAGGCAUGCGUUCCAUUAGGCAGUUGGCGGGGUAACGGCCCACCAAACCGACGAUGGAUAGGGGUUCUGAGAGGAAGGUCCCCCACAUUGGUACUGAGACACGGACCAA